This 111-nucleotide ribosomal RNA is filed under the name human gut metagenome. The record is from RNAcentral.
UGGUGAUCAUAUCGCAAGGGAACCACCCGUUCUCAUACCGAACACGGAAGUUAAGCCUUGCAGAGCCGAUGGUACUUGUCUGGACACGGACCGGGAGAGCAGGACAUCGCC